ACAGCAGCAGCCGCGGUAAUACGGAGGGUGCAAGCGUUAAUCGGAAUUACUGGGCGUAAAGCGCACGCAGGCGGUCUGACAAGUCAGAUGUGAAAUCCCCGGGCUUAACCUGGGAACUGCAUUUGAAACUGUCAGGCUGGAGUCUUGUAGAGGGGGGUGGAAUUCCAGGUGUAGCGGUGAAAUGCGUAGAGAUCUGGAGGAAUACCGGUGGCGAAGGCGGCCCCCUGGACAAAGACUGACGCUCAGGUGCGAAAGCGUGGGGAGCAAACAGGAUUAGAUACCCCGGUAGUUCCUGUCUCUUAUAU
RNAcentral lists this ribosomal RNA (305 nucleotides) under uncultured bacterium. Its description in RNAcentral is "partial 16S ribosomal RNA". It matches the Rfam family "Bacterial small subunit ribosomal RNA", at positions 505 to 809 of the family's 1533-position model. The record is from RNAcentral.